AAUAGAAUGCCUGAUAAAAGGACUAUCUUGAUAGGAUAGAUUAUGUAGAUCUCUACUUCUAUUA
RNAcentral lists this transfer RNA (64 nucleotides) under Aclees taiwanensis. RNAcentral's name for it is "tRNA-Ile". The record is from RNAcentral. Lineage: Eukaryota; Metazoa; Arthropoda; Insecta; Coleoptera; Curculionidae.